Molecule: long non-coding RNA, 201 nt
Filed under: Sorghum bicolor (sorghum)
Lineage: Eukaryota; Viridiplantae; Streptophyta; Magnoliopsida; Poales; Poaceae
Description: long non-coding RNA (SBIC_LNC005549)
Source: RNAcentral
GCAGCACAUGCAUGGAGCAUUAAAUACAGAUAAAAAAUAACUAAUUACACAGUUUACCUGUUAUUUGGGAGAUAAAUUUUUUGAGCCUAGUUAAUUUAUAAGUAGACAAUAUUUGUCAAAUAUAAACAAAAGUACUGUAGUGUCUAUUUUGCAAAAAAAAAACUAAACAAGACCUAAACAAAGACUUUAGCAAUAGGGCAG